ACCGGCAGCUAGCUCUUUGCAACUUUUACAUGGUCACCCACUGAAGCUAAGCAGGGCAGCGCCCGGUCAUUACCUGGAUGGGAGACCACAUGGAAAAGCUAGGUUGCUGCCGGAA
Danio rerio (zebrafish) is the source of this 115-nucleotide ribosomal RNA. NCBI's taxonomy places the organism in Eukaryota, Metazoa, Chordata, Actinopteri, Cypriniformes, Danionidae. The record is from Ensembl.